RNAcentral lists this ribosomal RNA (73 nucleotides) under uncultured Cadophora. RNAcentral describes it as "partial 18S ribosomal RNA". The stretch from base 1 to 58 matches the Rfam family "Eukaryotic small subunit ribosomal RNA", at positions 1772 to 1831 of the family's 1831-position model. Lineage: Eukaryota; Fungi; Ascomycota; Leotiomycetes; Helotiales. The record is from RNAcentral.
UUUGGAAGUCAAAAGUCGUAACAAGUUCUCCGUAGGUGAACCUGCGGAGGGAUCAUUACAGAGAACAUCGCCC